This 499-nucleotide ribosomal RNA is filed under the name uncultured bacterium. RNAcentral describes it as "partial 16S ribosomal RNA". It matches the Rfam family "Bacterial small subunit ribosomal RNA", at positions 28 to 507 of the family's 1533-position model. The record is from RNAcentral.
GACGAACGCUGGCGGCGUGCCUAAUACAUGCAAGUCGAGCGGACCGAACAGGAGCUUGCUCUUGUUCGGUUAGCGGCGGACGGGUGAGUAACACGUGGGUAACCUGCCCGUAAGACCGGGAUAACUCCGGGAAACCGGAGCUAAUACCGGAUAACACCGAAGACCGCAUGGUCUUUGGUUGAAAGGCGGCUUCGGCUGCCACUUACGGAUGGGCCCGCGGCGCAUUAGCUAGUUGGUGAGGUAACGGCUCACCAAGGCGACGAUGCGUAGCCGGCCUGAGAGGGUGACCGGCCACACUGGGACUGAGACACGGCCCAGACUCCUACGGGAGGCAGCAGUAGGGAAUCUUCCGCAAGGGACGAAAGUCUGACGGAGCGACGCCGCGGGAGCGAAGAAGGUCUUCGGAUCGUAAAGCUCUGUUGUUAGGGAAGAAGAAGCGUCGUUCGAACAGGGCGGCGCGGUGACGGUACCUAACGAGAAAGCCCCGGCUAACUACGUG